RNAcentral lists this ribosomal RNA (1044 nucleotides) under uncultured bacterium. Its description in RNAcentral is "bacterial SSU rRNA". It matches the Rfam family "Bacterial small subunit ribosomal RNA", at positions 60 to 1112 of the family's 1533-position model. The record is from RNAcentral.
AGUCGUGGGGCAGCGCAGGUAGCAAUACUGGGCGGCGACCGGCAAACGGGUGCGGAACACGUACACAACCUUCCGAGAAGUGGGGAAUAGCCCAGAGAAAUUUGGAUUAAUACCCCGUAACAUAACGAUGUGGCAUCACAUUGUUAUUAUAGCUUCGGCGCUUCUUGAUGGGUGUGCGGCUGAUUAGAUAGUUGGCGGGGUAACGGCCCACCAAGUCUACGAUCAGUAGCUGAUGUGAGAGCAUGAUCAGCCACACGGGCACUGAGACACGGGCCCGACUCCUACGGGAGGCAGCAGUAAGGAAUAUUGGUCAAUGGACGCAAGUCUGAACCAGCCAUGCCGCGUGCAGGAAGACGGCCUUAUGGGUUGUAAACUGCUUUUGUCAGGGAAUAAACCCUCGUUCGUGAACGAGGCUGAAGGUACCUGAAGAAUAAGCAUCGGCUAACUCCGUGCCAGCAGCCGCGGUAAUACGGAGGAUGCGAGCGUUAUCCGGAUUCAUUGGGUUUAAAGGGUGCGCAGGCGGAUUAAUAAGUCAGUGGUGAAAUCCUACGGCUCAACCGUGGCACUGCCAUUGAUACUGUUAGUCUUGAGUAUAGUUGAAGUGGGCGGAAUGUAGCAUGUAGCGGUGAAAUGCAUAGAUAUGCUACAGAACACCAAUAGCGAAGGCAGCUCACUAAGUUAUAACUGACGCUCAUGCACGAAAGCGUGGGGAUCAAACAGGAUUAGAUACCCUGGUAGUCCACGCUGUAAACGAUGAUCACUCGUUGUUGGCGAUACACAGUCAGCGACUAAGCGAAAGUGAUAAGUGAUCCACCUGGGGAGUACGGUCGCAAGAUUGAAACUCAAAGGAAUUGACGGGGGCCCGCACAAGCGGUGGAGCAUGUGGUUUAAUUCGAUGAUACGCGAGGAACCUUACCUGGGCUCAAAUGUAAGUUGACAGAUUCUGAAAGGGAUUCUCUUCGGACAAUUUACAAGUGCUGCAUGGUUGUCGUCAGCUCGUGCCGUGAGGUGUCGGGUAGUCCCAUACGAGCGCACCCUAUCAUU